RNAcentral lists this ribosomal RNA (253 nucleotides) under uncultured bacterium. RNAcentral's name for it is "partial 16S ribosomal RNA". It matches the Rfam family "Bacterial small subunit ribosomal RNA", at positions 524 to 776 of the family's 1533-position model. The record is from RNAcentral.
CACGUAGGGCGCAAGCGUUGUCCGGAAUUAUUGGGCGUAAAGAGCUCGUAGGCGGACUGUCACGUCCGCUGUGAAAAGCUAGGGCUUAACCCUGGCCUUGCAGUGGAUACGGGCAGACUAGAGGUAGGUAGGGGAGAAUGGAAUUCCCGGUGUAGCGGUGAAAUGCGUAGAUAUCAGGAGGAACACCGGUGGUGUAAACGGCUUUCUGGACCAUAACUGACGCUGAGGCACGAAAGCGUGGGUAGCAAACAGG